GACGAACGCUGGCGGCGUGCUUAACACAUGCAAGUCGAACGGUGAACGAGGGAGCUUGCUCCCUCCGGAUCAGUAGCGAACGGGUGAGUAACACGUGAGCAAUCUGCCCCGAACUCUGGGAUAAGCGUUGGAAACGACGUCUAAUACCGGAUACGACGCGGGAGGGCAUCCUCUCCGCGUGGAAAGAACUUCGGUUCGGGAUGAGCUCGCGGCCUAUCAGCUUGUUGGUGAGGUAACGGCUCACCAAGGCGACGACGGGUAGCCGGCCUGAGAGGGUGACCGGCCACACUGGGACUGAGACACGGCCCAGACUCCUACGGGAGGCAGCAGUGGGGAAUAUUGCACAAUGGGCGCAAGCCUGAUGCAGCAACGCCGCGUGAGGGACGACGGCCUUCGGGUUGUAAACCUCUUUUAGCAGGGAAGAAGCGAAAGUGACGGUACCUGCAGAAAAAGCACCGGCUAACUACGUG
This 470-nucleotide ribosomal RNA is filed under the name uncultured bacterium. RNAcentral describes it as "partial 16S ribosomal RNA". It matches the Rfam family "Bacterial small subunit ribosomal RNA", at positions 28 to 507 of the family's 1533-position model. The record is from RNAcentral.